AGUAAUGCAUAGGAAUCUGCCCGGUAGUGGGGGAUAACCUGGGGAAACCCAGGCUAAUACCGCAUACGUCCUACGGGAGAAAGCAGGGGAUCUUCGGACCUUGCGCUAUCGGAUGAGCCUAUGUCGGAUUAGCUGGUUGGUGAGGUAACGGCUCACCAAGGCGACGAUCCGUAGCUGGUCUGAGAGGAUGAUCAGCCACAUCGGGACUGAGACACGGCCCGAACUCCUACGGGAGGCAGCAGUGGGGAAUAUUGGACAAUGGGCGCAAGCCUGAUCCAGCCAUGCCGCGUGUGUGAAGAAGGCCCUCGGGUUGUAAAGCACUUUCAGUGGGGAAGAAGGCCUUGCGGUUAAUACCCGCGAGGAAGGACAUCACUCACAGCGGGG
RNAcentral lists this ribosomal RNA (384 nucleotides) under uncultured Halomonas sp. RNAcentral's name for it is "bacterial SSU rRNA". It matches the Rfam family "Bacterial small subunit ribosomal RNA", at positions 109 to 489 of the family's 1533-position model. The record is from RNAcentral. Lineage: Bacteria; Pseudomonadati; Pseudomonadota; Gammaproteobacteria; Oceanospirillales; Halomonadaceae.